UACGUAGGGUGCGAGCGUUGUCCGGAAUUAUUGGGCGUAAAGAGCUCGUAGGCGGCUUGUUGCGUCGGAUGUGAAAGCCCGGGGCUUAACUCCGGGUCUGCAUUCGAUACGGGCAGGCUAGAGUUCGGUAGGGGAGAUCGGAAUUCCUGGUGUAGCGGUGAAAUGCGCAGAUAUCGGGAGGAACACCAGUAGCGAAGGCGGCACUCUGGGCCGGUACUGACGCUGAGGAGCGAAAGCGUGGGGAGCGAACAGG
RNAcentral lists this ribosomal RNA (253 nucleotides) under uncultured bacterium. RNAcentral's name for it is "partial 16S ribosomal RNA". It matches the Rfam family "Bacterial small subunit ribosomal RNA", at positions 524 to 776 of the family's 1533-position model. The record is from RNAcentral.